GAUGAACGCUGGCGGCGUGCCUAAUACAUGCAAGUCGAGCGAACAGACGAGGAUCUUGCUCCUCUGACGUUAGCGGCGGACGGGUGAGUAACACGUGGAUAACCUACCUAUAAGACUGGGAUAACUUCGGGAAACCGGAGCUAAUACCGGAUAAUAUAUUGAACCGCAUGGUUCAUUAGUGAAAGACGGUUUUGCUGUCACUUAUAGAUGGAUCCUCGCCGCAUUAGCUAGUUGGUAAGGUAACGGCUUACCAAGGCAACGAUGCGUAGCCGACCUGAGAGGGUGAUCGGCCACACUGGAACUGAGACACGGUCCAGACUCCUACGGGAGGCAGCAGUAGGGAAUCUUCCGCAAUGGGCGAAAGCCUGACGGAGCAACGCCGCGUGAGUGAUGAAGGUCUUCGGAUCGUAAAACUCUGUUAUCAGGGAAGAACAAAUGUGUAAGUAACUAUGCACGUCUUGACGGUACCUAAUCAGAAAGCCACGGCUAACUACGUG
This 497-nucleotide ribosomal RNA is filed under the name uncultured bacterium. RNAcentral's name for it is "partial 16S ribosomal RNA". It matches the Rfam family "Bacterial small subunit ribosomal RNA", at positions 28 to 507 of the family's 1533-position model. The record is from RNAcentral.